This 499-nucleotide ribosomal RNA is filed under the name uncultured Glomus. RNAcentral describes it as "SSU rRNA". It matches the Rfam family "Eukaryotic small subunit ribosomal RNA", at positions 569 to 1073 of the family's 1831-position model. The record is from RNAcentral. Lineage: Eukaryota; Fungi; Glomeromycota; Glomeromycetes; Glomerales; Glomeraceae.
AGCAGCCGCGGUAAUUCCAGCUCCAAUAGCGUAUAUUAAAGUUGUUGCAGUUAAAAAGCUCGUAGUUGAAUUUCGGGAUCAAUAUGCUGGUCGUGCCUUUGGUACGUACUGGUAUUAUUGGUUUCUCCUUUCUGAUGAAUCACGAUGUCAUUAAUUUGGUGUCAUGGGGAAUCAGGACUGUUACUUUGAAAAAUUAGUGUGUUUAAAGCAGGCUUACGCUUGAAUACAUUAGCAUGGAAUAAUGAAAUAGGACGUUUAAUUCUAUUUUGUUGGUUUCUAGGAUUGACGUAAUGAUUAAUAGGGAUAGUUGGGGGCAUUAGUAUUCAAUUGUCAGAGGUGAAAUUCUUGGAUUUAUUGAAGACUAACUACUGCGAAAGCAUUUGCCAAGGAUGUUUUCAUUAAUCAAGAACGAAAGUUAGGGGAUCGAAGACGAUCAGAUACCGUCGUAGUCUUAACCAUAAACUAUGCCGACUAGGGAUCGGAUGAUGUUAAUUUAUGA